RNAcentral lists this ribosomal RNA (253 nucleotides) under uncultured bacterium. RNAcentral describes it as "partial 16S ribosomal RNA". It matches the Rfam family "Bacterial small subunit ribosomal RNA", at positions 524 to 776 of the family's 1533-position model. The record is from RNAcentral.
UACAGAGGUCUCAAGCGUUGUUCGGAUUCAUUGGGCGUAAAGGGUGUGUAGGUGGCGCCGUAAGUCGGGUGUGAAAUUUCGGAGCUUAACUCCGAAACUGCAUUCGAUACUGCGGUGCUUGAGGACUGGAGAGGAGACUGGAAUUCAUGGUGUAGCGGUGAAAUGCGUAGAUAUCUGCAGGAACACCCGUGGCGAAAGCGGCGCGCUGGACCACUACUGACGCUGAGGAACGAAAGCUAGGGGAGCAAACAGG